Molecule: ribosomal RNA, 871 nt
Filed under: uncultured Bacillota bacterium
Lineage: Bacteria; Bacillati; Bacillota
Description: bacterial SSU rRNA
Rfam family: Bacterial small subunit ribosomal RNA
Source: RNAcentral
UCCGAGAAAGCGGGAGCAAUCUCGCAAGUAAAGUGGCGUACGGGUGAGUAACACGUGGGUAAUCUACCCUUUAGUGUGGAAUAACCCUGGGAAACCGGGGCUAAUACCGCAUAAUCCCGAGAGGGGAAAGGAGCAAUCCGCUGAAGGAGGAGCCCGCGGCCGAUUAGCUAGUUGGAGGGGUAAGAGCCCACCAAGGCAAAGAUCGGUAGCCGGCCUGAGAGGGCACACGGCCACACUGGCACUGAAACACGGGCCAGACUCCUACGGGAGGCAGCAGUGGGGAAUCUUGCACAAUGGGGGAAACCCUGAUGCAGCGACGCCGCGUGAACGAUGAAGCCCUUCGGGGUGUAAAGUUCUUUCGGCAGGGACGAUUAUGACGGUACCUGCAGAAGCAGCUGCGGCUAACUACGUGCCAGCAGCCGCGGUAAUACGUAGGCAGCGAGCGUUGUUCGGAGUUACUGGGCGUAAAGGGUGCGUAGGCGGUUCUUUAAGUUUGGUGUGAAAUCUCCCGGCUUAACUGGGAGGGUGCGCCGGAUACUGAGGGACUAGAGUACGGGAAGGGAAAGUGGAAUUCCUGGUGUAGCGGUGAAAUGCGUAGAUAUCAGGAGGAACACCGGUAGUGUAAACGGCUUUCUGGACCGUAACUGACGCUGAGGCACGAAAGCGUGGGGAGCAAACAGGAUUAGAUACCCUGGUAGUCCACGCCCUAAACGAUGCAUGUUUGGUGUGGGUGAUUCAGUUCAUCUGUGCCGGAGCUAACGCGUUAAACAUGCCGCCUGGGGAGUACAGUCGCAAGGCUGAAACUCAAAGGAAUUGACGGGGGCCCGCACAGCGGUGGAGCAUGUGGUUCAAUUCGACGCAACGCGAAGAA